CGCACGGCGCACGGGUGCGUAACGCGUAUGCAACCUACCCAUUACAGGGGGAUAACACUGAGAAAUCGGUACUAAUACCCCAUAACAUCCAGGGAGGCAUCUUCUUGGGUUGAAAACUCCGGUGGUAAUGGAUGGGCAUGCGUUGUAUUAGUUAGUUGGUGGGGUAACGGCUCACCAAGACAACGAUACAUAGGGGGACUGAGAGGUUAACCCCCCACAUUGGUACUGAGACACGGACCAAACUCCUACGGAAGGCAGCAG
Molecule: ribosomal RNA, 261 nt
Filed under: uncultured bacterium
Lineage: Bacteria
Description: partial 16S ribosomal RNA
Rfam family: Bacterial small subunit ribosomal RNA
Source: RNAcentral